GACGAGGGGUGCGAACGUUAUUCGGAAUGAUUGGGCGUAAAGGGUGCGUAGGCGGUUUAUCAAGUCAACUGUUAAAUUUCUCAGCUUAACUGGGAGUAUGCGGUAGAAACUGGCAAACUAGAGGAUGGAAGAGAGAAGUAGAAUUCUCGGAGUAGCGGUAAAAUGCGUAGAUCUCGAGAGGAACACCGAUGGCGAAGGCAGCUUCUUGGUCCAUUUCUGACGCUGAGGCACGAAAGCGUGGGGAGCAAACAGG
RNAcentral lists this ribosomal RNA (253 nucleotides) under uncultured bacterium. Its description in RNAcentral is "partial 16S ribosomal RNA". It matches the Rfam family "Bacterial small subunit ribosomal RNA", at positions 524 to 776 of the family's 1533-position model. The record is from RNAcentral.